RNAcentral lists this long non-coding RNA (462 nucleotides) under Homo sapiens (human). Its description in RNAcentral is "HSALNT0333541". The record is from RNAcentral. Lineage: Eukaryota; Metazoa; Chordata; Mammalia; Primates; Hominidae.
AUUGAUUGCUAGUGCUUACUUCCAUGGGCACUCAAAAAAGCGCUUCAUAUUUACGGCUCCUUAUAACUUCAAAAGCCAUCCUAGCAGUGAAUGGAAACACACAUAUGGGGAGAAACUAAGGCUCCCUACUAAAAACGUGCAACAUGUGACUGGGACAUCUUGAAAUACGUUGUGAACUUCCCAGCACAUCUGUUAGAAAGGAGGUCCAGAAAAAGAGCACAAAGAGAAUGGUCUGUAUUUAAAGAUGUAACAGCUGAGAAAGCACAGUGUAAUUUUCAAGAAAAUGACUGUAGCCAUUCUGCUUGGGCUUACAUCUAUCAUUGCUAAUCACUGUCGGAAAAACUUUGGGCAAAUGACUUAACAUUUCUGUUCCUGUAUUUCUUCAUCUGUAAAAUAAGAAUAAAGGUUGUUACGAUGAUUAAAUGAGCUAAUAUGUAUAAAGUACUUAGAAUAGGGUCUGAC